Molecule: transfer RNA, 76 nt
Filed under: Limosilactobacillus mucosae
Lineage: Bacteria; Bacillati; Bacillota; Bacilli; Lactobacillales; Lactobacillaceae
Description: Lactobacillus mucosae tRNA-Ile
Rfam family: tRNA
About the family: Transfer RNA (tRNA) molecules are approximately 80 nucleotides in length. Their secondary structure includes four short double-helical elements and three loops (D, anti-codon, and T loops). Further hydrogen bonds mediate the characteristic L-shaped molecular structure. tRNAs have two regions of fundamental functional importance: the anti-codon, which is responsible for specific mRNA codon recognition, and the 3' end, to which the tRNAs corresponding amino acid is attached (by aminoacyl-tRNA synthetases). tRNAs cope with the degeneracy of the genetic code in two manners: having more than one tRNA (with a specific anti-codon) for a particular amino acid; and 'wobble' base-pairing, i.e. permitting non-standard base-pairing at the 3rd anti-codon position.
Source: RNAcentral
UGGGUCUAUAGCUCAGUUGGUUAGAGCGCACGCCUGAUAAGCGUGAGGUCGGUGGUUCGAGUCCACUUAGACCCAU